AGUGAACGCUGGCGGUAGGCCUAACACAUGCAAGUCGAACGGCAGCACAGUAAGAGCUUGCUCUUACGGGUGGCGAGUGGCGGACGGGUGAGGAAUACAUCGGAAUCUACUUUUUCGUGGGGGAUAACGUAGGGAAACUUACGCUAAUACCGCAUACGACCUACGGGUGAAAGCAGGGGAUCUUCGGACCUUGCGCGAUUGAAUGAGCCGAUGUCGGAUUAGCUAGUUGGCGGGGUAAAGGCCCACCAAGGCGACGAUCCGUAGCUGGUCUGAGGGGAUGAUCAGCCACACUGGAACUGAGACACGGUCCAGACUCCUACGGGAGGCAGCAGUGGGGAAUAUUGGACAAUGGGCGCAAGCCUGAUCCAGCCAUACCGCGUGGGUGAAGAAGGCCUUCGGGUUGUAAAGCCCUGUUGUUGGGAAAGAAAAGCAGCAGGUUAAUACCCCGCUGUUCUGACGGUACCCAAAGAAUAAGCACCGGCUAACUUCGUG
RNAcentral lists this ribosomal RNA (492 nucleotides) under uncultured bacterium. RNAcentral's name for it is "partial 16S ribosomal RNA". It matches the Rfam family "Bacterial small subunit ribosomal RNA", at positions 29 to 507 of the family's 1533-position model. The record is from RNAcentral.